UCAUUUGUUCCACUCAACUUAGGCCUAGUUUAAGCUAGUUAAUUGUGUCUUUUCUCUAAAUAGAGCACAACAAACGUGGGUGUUUUCAUACCAAUAAAUACUCUUCAAUAUUCCUACCAUUGCCACAAAUGGGAACGUAAUGUCGUGCGUGUUUUCUACAGGUAGCCUUGCAUUCUUUGCGUCCCUAGAAACAACGUCGACGUGCACAAGCAAGGUCACGCAUCAUAAAUGCCGUUUAUUCCAAAAGAAAGAGUGCUUUACCGAAACACAGUAUGCAUCGGAGGCAGAAAAUUUAUUCAAGCUCUGAAGUCCCAAACAACUGAAAAUGCUCCAAAACACCAUCACGUGACCCUGGUAUUCUCAAAGUGCUGGUGAAAGUGUUUGUUUUUUAGGCCUAAAUAUUUGUUGAUAGUAGAGAGGCGGAUUGAUAGACUUUAUAACAAGUCAUGAUCAACAUUCCCCAACUGUUAGUUAAUUACACUAGUCAGUCUACAUCUGUAUUGUUUCUUUGCAACCUCUGUCAACAAACUCAAAUUUAUCCAUUUAUACCUGAAUAAUUGUGUUGUUUUAAGAUUAUGACUAGGCCUACAGCAUCUAACUAACUGUAAUCCUCUGAUAACUAAAUGUCUGAAGGCAAAAUACCAUUUUAUUGAUGAAUAUAUAUCCAUUUAACUCAUACAGAUUAGUGUAGGGUGUAAUGUUGGAAUGUUUUUGUUGACAGUAGCAGACACUACAUCUGCCUAUGAGCAAUGGACAAAACUGAGAAUACCUUAUCAUGAACCGUAGUGAACACUGCUGGCAACAUCCUGUUUUAUUGGCACACAACAGCAUCCCUCCUGAUCAAGUGAAAAGGAAUCCUAUGACACCGCUUGAUCUUUGUCUGACAUGGAAAUCUGCAAAUCAAAUAAGGUGGAAGAAUAACAUCUGGUUAAAAAAUUUAUGUGGAAAAAUAUCUGCUUUAAAGUGAUGUCAUGAACUGGACGCUGCACUCUUGAUUCCAACACUAAUAUUGUCAUGACCAAAUGUUAAAGUUCAUAUUCAGCAAGUUGAAGAUAACUGACACCAUCUUUAAGUAUAAGUUGCACAAAUAUGGUAUUCAGAAGUUUUUUGUUUUCACUACUGAUGUAUAUAUAGUAUAAAAAAAUGGAUUUCUGUAAUAGAAUAAAGUAUUGGAAUACA
Long non-coding RNA from Haliotis rufescens (red abalone), 1179 nucleotides. RefSeq lists it as uncharacterized. The record is from RefSeq and is a predicted model, not a curated record. The transcript has 4 exons. NCBI's taxonomy places the organism in Eukaryota, Metazoa, Mollusca, Gastropoda, Lepetellida, Haliotidae.